This 424-nucleotide ribosomal RNA is filed under the name uncultured prokaryote. RNAcentral describes it as "bacterial SSU rRNA". It matches the Rfam family "Bacterial small subunit ribosomal RNA", at positions 355 to 776 of the family's 1533-position model. RNAcentral also lists the same sequence under 1 other name. The record is from RNAcentral.
UGAGGAAUAUUGGACAAUGGGCGCAAGCCUGAUCCAGCCAUGCCGCGUGCAGGAAGACGGCCCUAUGGGUUGUAAACUGCUUUUAUACGGGAAGAAACACCCCCUCGUGAGGGGGCUUGACGGUACCGUAAGAAUAAGGAUCGGCUAACUCCGUGCCAGCAGCCGCGGUAAUACGGAGGAUCCAAGCGUUAUCCGGAAUCAUUGGGUUUAAAGGGUCCGUAGGUGGACAAUUAAGUCAGGGGUGAAAGUCUGCAGCUCAACUGUAGAAUUGCCCUUGAUACUGGUUGUCUUGAAUCAUUGUGAAGUGGUUAGAAUAUGUAGUGUAGCGGUGAAAUGCAUAGAUAUUACAUAGAAUACCAAUUGCGAAGGCAGAUCACUAACAAUGUAUUGACACUGAUGGACGAAAGCGUGGGUAGCGAACAGG